GUGGUACAUGGAAAACAAAUGGUGAAGACGAUUAUGGAACAUCUGUUUUUUUUUGUUUUUUUUUUGUUUUGUUUUUGUUCAAAUGAACAAGAAAUUUAAACAGAGAGAACUUACGAAUCUAAAUGUAUAGAAAAACUAAGGAUUGACAAUUAGAACAAAAGUUUAGAGGAAGCUGGCAUUUGGUCUAAUAUUCUCUUAGCAUGAUUCCACAGGGUAAAAA
Molecule: long non-coding RNA, 220 nt
Filed under: Mytilus galloprovincialis (Mediterranean mussel)
Lineage: Eukaryota; Metazoa; Mollusca; Bivalvia; Mytilida; Mytilidae
Source: RNAcentral